AAAUAAUGAUGAUGAUGAUGAUGAUGAUGAUACUUUUUACGAGCUCUCUCAUCAUGGUGAUUAUUUUCAUUACAAUCCUCAUCAUCAUCAUCACCAUUAUAU
This 102-nucleotide microRNA precursor is filed under the name Bigelowiella natans CCMP2755. RNAcentral's name for it is "miRNA EPrBNAG00000013277". The stretch from base 12 to 91 matches the Rfam family "Small nucleolar RNA SNORD69". Rfam says of the family: snoRNA HBII-210 belongs to the C/D family of snoRNAs. The record is from RNAcentral. Lineage: Eukaryota; Cercozoa; Chlorarachniophyceae.